AACGAACGCUGGCGGCAGGCCUAACACAUGCAAGUCGAGCGAGGACUUCGGUCCUAGCGGCGGACGGGUGAGUAACGCGUGGGAACGUGCCCUUUGCUUCGGAAUAGCCCUGGGAAACUGGGAGUAAUACCGGAUGAGCCCUUUGGGGGAAAGAUUUAUCGGCGAAGGAUCGGCCCGCGUUGGAUUAGGUAGUUGGUGGGGUAAUGGCCUACCAAGCCGACGAUCCAUAGCUGGUUUGAGAGGAUGAUCAGCCACACUGGGACUGAGACACGGCCCAGACUCCUACGGGAGGCAGCAGUGGGGAAUCUUAGACAAUGGGGGAAACCCCGAUCUAGCCAUGCCGCGUGAGCGAUGAAGGCCUUAGGGUUGUAAAGCUCUUUCAGCUGGGAAGAUAAUGACGGUACCAGCAGAAGAAGCCCCGGCUAACUCCGUG
This 433-nucleotide ribosomal RNA is filed under the name uncultured bacterium. RNAcentral describes it as "partial 16S ribosomal RNA". It matches the Rfam family "Bacterial small subunit ribosomal RNA", at positions 29 to 507 of the family's 1533-position model. The record is from RNAcentral.